GACGAACGCUGGCGGCGUGCUUAACACAUGCAAGUCGAACGGAAAGGCCCAGCUUGCUGGGUACUCGAGUGGCGAACGGGUGAGUAACACGUGGGUGAUCUGCCCUGCACUCUGGGAUAAGCCUGGGAAACUGGGUCUAAUACCGGAUAUGACCGACUGUCGCAUGGUGGUUGGUGGAAAGCUUUUGCGGUGUGGGAUGGGCCCGCGGCCUAUCAGCUUGUUGGUGGGGUAAUGGCCUACCAAGGCGACGACGGGUAGCCGACCUGAGAGGGUGAUCGGCCACUCUGGGACUGAGACACGGCCCAGACUCCUACGGGAGGCAGCAGUGGGGAAUAUUGCACAAUGGGCGCAAGCCUGAUGCAGCGACGCCGCGUGAGGGAUGACGGCCUUCGGGUUGUAAACCUCUUUCACCAGGGACGAAGCGUGAGUGACGGUACCUGGAGAAGAAGCACCGGCCAACUACGUG
This 466-nucleotide ribosomal RNA is filed under the name uncultured bacterium. Its description in RNAcentral is "partial 16S ribosomal RNA". It matches the Rfam family "Bacterial small subunit ribosomal RNA", at positions 28 to 507 of the family's 1533-position model. The record is from RNAcentral.